Mycena belliarum is the source of this 100-nucleotide non-coding RNA. The record is from the annotation of a GenBank genome assembly. Lineage: Eukaryota; Fungi; Basidiomycota; Agaricomycetes; Agaricales; Mycenaceae.
GGCUCGAUGGUGUAGUUGGUUUAUCACUUCUGUCUAACAUUCAUUUGCUCAGUACGUGAUGUCACACAGGCGGUCCUCGGUUCGAGCCCGAGUCGAGUCA